AGUGAACGCUGGCGGUAGGCCUAACACAUGCAAGUCGAACGGCAGCACAGUAAGAGCUUGCUCUUACGGGUGGCGAGUGGCGGACGGGUGAGGAAUACAUCGGAAUCUACUUUUUCGUGGGGGAUAACGUAGGGAAACUUACGCUAAUACCGCAUACGACCUACGGGUGAAAGCAGGGGAUCUUCGGACCUUGCGCGAUUGAAUGAGCGGAUGUCGGAUUAGCUAGUUGGCGGGGUAAAGGCCCACCAAGGCGACGAUCCGUAGCUGAUCUGAGAGGAUGAUCAGCCACACUGGAACUUAAACACGGUCCAUACUCCUACGGGAGGCAGCAGUGGGGAAUAUUAGACAAUGGGCGCAAACAUGAUCCAGCCAUACCGCGUGUGUGAAGAAGGCCUUCGGGUUGUAAAGCCCUUUUGUUGGGAAAGAAAAGCAUCAGGUUAAUACCCCGCUGUUCUGACGGUACCCAAAGAAUAAGCACCGGCUAACUUCGUG
This 492-nucleotide ribosomal RNA is filed under the name uncultured bacterium. RNAcentral's name for it is "partial 16S ribosomal RNA". It matches the Rfam family "Bacterial small subunit ribosomal RNA", at positions 29 to 507 of the family's 1533-position model. The record is from RNAcentral.